Molecule: ribosomal RNA, 429 nt
Filed under: Gemmatimonadota bacterium
Lineage: Bacteria; Pseudomonadati; Gemmatimonadota
Description: Gemmatimonadetes bacterium partial 16S ribosomal RNA
Rfam family: Bacterial small subunit ribosomal RNA
Source: RNAcentral
UAGGGAAUCUUCGGCAAUGGACGAAAGUCUGACCGAGCAACGCCGCGUGAGUGAAGAAGGUUUUCGGAUCGUAAAACUCUGUUGUUAGAGAAGAACAAGGACGUUAGUAACUGAACGUCCCCUGACGGUAUCUAACCAGAAAGCCACGGCUAACUACGUGCCAGCAGCCGCGGUAAUACGUAGGUGGCAAGCGUUGUCCGGAUUUAUUGGGCGUAAAGCGAGCGCAGGCGGUUUCUUAAGUCUGAUGUGAAAGCCCCCGGCUCAACCGGGGAGGGUCAUUGGAAACUGGGAGACUUGAGUGCAGAAGAGGAGAGUGGAAUUCCAUGUGUAGCGGUGAAAUGCGUAGAUAUAUGGUGGAACACCAGUGGCGAAGGCGGCUCUCUGGUCUGUAACUGACGCUGAGGCUCGAAAGCGUGGGGAGCAAACAGG